Populus euphratica (Euphrates poplar) is the source of this 779-nucleotide long non-coding RNA. RefSeq lists it as uncharacterized. The transcript has 2 exons. NCBI's taxonomy places the organism in Eukaryota, Viridiplantae, Streptophyta, Magnoliopsida, Malpighiales, Salicaceae. The record is from RefSeq and is a predicted model, not a curated record.
UCAACUGUGGAGCCUUUUUCCCUCACUAAGAUUGAUUUGGUGCACGAAACAACACAUACAUAGCAUUCCAUCAUUCAUAAAAUAUUCUCACGCUAUCUCUGUUUACUAGUUGAUUUCACGGCCAUUCAAAACACUGUUUGCUACAGCCAAGAGGACAUGAGAUUUCUUACAUCAUGAAUAACUAGUAUAAAAAGCAAAAACUGACCGUUAUAUAUGAUUAUGAAGGCAAGCUAAACUAGCAGUGUCAUCCGCCGCCGAACCGACUGAGAUCAUCUUCUUAGCAAAUUAGUGACACAGCAUGAACAACCCAAUCCAUCAGUAGCCAUGGAAAAGCCCAACAAAUCCAUUGAAGUUUUUCUUUUGACCUCAUCAGGUGCGUAUCUAUUUAUCACCUUCUUCCCGGUUCCCAGAGCAAGCAGUAAAGUGUUUCAAAUGGCCCCAUCCAGCUACUUCUUGUGAGUUGUGAUAAUCCCAAGUUUUGCAUGUGCAAACUGCAAGAUGAUCGUAGGUCCUCAAGCUCCCGCAACAGAAGAUGCUGAUGAACAGGAGAGGCAAGUUGAUGGACAUCCAUUUCAGGUCGGUGGUCAUGUAAUUUUUUACAGUUAGGAAAUACCCUUUUUUUUUUUUUUUUGAAAUCGAAUGUUAUAAUUAAAAGCGAUAGUCAGCUACAUGAAACCCUAAUCGAGCUCAUUUUUUAGCAUGCCAGCAACAUUGCGGCCUUGGGUUUUAGAACAUCAGAAAUUCAGAAUCAGCAAUGAAUCUCCUUUUAACAUGCACUC